RNAcentral lists this non-coding RNA (24 nucleotides) under Arabidopsis thaliana (thale cress). Lineage: Eukaryota; Viridiplantae; Streptophyta; Magnoliopsida; Brassicales; Brassicaceae. The record is from RNAcentral.
CAUCACGAUGGAUGUACCUCUCAC